GAUAUGGUGUAUCAUUUGAUUGAUACAAUGGAGUUCUGUAGUGAGAAUCUUGUGGCAUGUGGAACUGACUCUGAUUAUGGUGGCUCGGCUGUGAAGUGAACAAUGAGCAGAACACUAACACGUCUCAUUCACGGUAUAUUACUUCCCUUAAAAUCAAUCCUGCUGGCAACAUUAUCAUUAUAGGUUCAUGUGCUGAUGUGCCAAACACCCAUUAACAAGAUCUCAUUUAUCUCAUUAUCUGCAUGGUUCUCUAAUUAGUAUGUUUUCCAGGAUGACGAGAAGGCAACAUCAAGCGUGGUGCAUAGGCGAGGGUCAGAAACAUGACCCUACUUGCUAAGGAGCAGAUAGAUCUGUGCGCAAGCAAUGGUUGGCAGUGGUGCCGAUGGUCAAGUGGAGGAGAACACAAAAUAUGAAGACAUGCAGUCGCAUCAGGUCACAGGAUAUGGUGUAUCAUUCGAUUGAUACAAUGGAGUUCUGUAGAGAGAAUCUUCUAGCAUGUGGAACUGACUCUGAUUAUGCUGGCUCAGCUGUGGUACAACUAUGGGAUAUUGAGUCUCUCGAAUCUUACUUAUCUUUCUUUGCGAUCGAUUCGGUAUAUAUAAUUUAAUUUAAGUUUCUUACUGAAAUUUUUAGAAGUGAACACUGAGCAGAACACUAACACGUCUCAUUCAUGGUAUAUUACUUCCCUUAAAAUCAAUCCUGGUGGUAACACUAUCAUUACAGGUAAUGUUCUUUCCCUGUUGUGUAUAGUAUCCCUAUAUUGCAGCCAGACUAAUACUUGGCGUCCCUCAUCUCUCGUUUGUACAUUUACGCACCUUGUACCAUUUCACUCCCAGCUUGGAUUUCCUCGGACUUCGUAACUAAAUUACCAAUAGAGAAUUUUUCUCUUGGUUUAGGUUCUUGUCCGUGGUUGCUGGGAAAAGCUGAGUUCUUUCUCUUGCUACUUUUCAUUCUCAGCAAAUUUCUGAAUCAAACAUUAAAGCAUGAUAAAUUAUGAUUUUUGAUCUCCAACUAUUCCUCCUUUUCCACACUAUUCCUCCUUUUCCUGUGUAAUACACACUAUUCCUCCUUUUCUUAAUUAGUUAUAUGUUGAACAUAAUGCCAACGGACAAUAUAGUACCGUGUACCUCUAAUUUCUAAGUUGGGGCAAUUGAUAGUCGUGUUUUAGUUCCUUUUCAACUAUUGUAGCUGCAUAAUUUGGCAACAAAUGCUUCAUGUGAACAGAAAAUAUUUAAAAAUUUCUAAGUUAAUAAAUAUUUGUUGGUUACACUGUGUUAUCAUGGCACUGCGUAUGGAUAUGUCUCUCUUUCAAGCUAAGUUGGUUUUCUACUUGUUUUUUUAAUAACUGGAAGGUAACUAAUAGUUUGAUCUUUAAGUUUAUAGAGAAUCAGGUGAUAAGUAAUUGAUGAUACAAGGCAUUUGAACGGGCUUGAAGCAUUGAGCCUUCAUUGGACUUGCCUCAGGCUGGAGUGUGAACAAAAAAUAAUCACCAAUCUCGGUAACCACUCCCUAAAUCUUAAGCGCAACUAUUUUGACAUUUGGAGUCGGCCCGACAUUCCUUUUCUUUGAAAGAGGAUAUCUGCCCGCCCCUGCAUAUCAGAAUUCAUACCAUAGGUACCCUGAAGCAAAAAAUACUGGUGCAUUGCAAACUUAUUACCAUAAUCUAUAUUCAGUCUUUUUGGACCAACCUACAUGGACGAAAACGCGACAUGUUGGAAGGCAGGCCGGAGGAACCAGAUGGUUCUAGACUGCUGGUAUAAAGGGAACCCAUACUUUAACAGGGUUUCUACUCAUGUUCUUUUGAGCAUACAACAUGUCUGUAGUUUCAUCUCUUUAGUCUGUAGUUUCAUCUCUUUAGUAGUUGCCAUACAAAAGAAUCCUUUGUUUGCAAAUGGAACUACGAAUAAUUUAUUGCAACGUCGCCAGUUAUUAAUCUAGGUUCUAUAUUUGCAACAUAGUAAAGAAA
Long non-coding RNA from Hordeum vulgare subsp. vulgare (domesticated barley), 1966 nucleotides. RefSeq lists it as uncharacterized. The transcript has 5 exons. The record is from RefSeq and is a predicted model, not a curated record. NCBI's taxonomy places the organism in Eukaryota, Viridiplantae, Streptophyta, Magnoliopsida, Poales, Poaceae.